This 2253-nucleotide long non-coding RNA is filed under the name Brassica napus (rape). RNAcentral describes it as "long non-coding RNA (BNAP_LNC007967)". The record is from RNAcentral. Lineage: Eukaryota; Viridiplantae; Streptophyta; Magnoliopsida; Brassicales; Brassicaceae.
ACAUCCAUUAGAAUCUCAACGAGAUUGAUAUGAUUCAUGAUGACGACCGUGGAUUCUCUAGAAGCUUCUGAUCUUAAACCCAAAGGUUUUGGUCCUAUUCCCCUAGGGAACGUUCGAAAAUACUCUUCCUCAUUGAGAAUCUCAACCGCAUUAUCGCUUGGAACCCACAAGGGAUCACCUGUUUGAGCCAUUCUCACAAGCUCUUCCAUGGCAGCAACAGCUAACUCAACAAUCAUUGGCUUAUCAGCAUCAUUAUGGAUCGAGACCGAUCUCAUAAUAUCACUUGUUCCAUACAUGUCUCAUAGUCUGGAUCCCCGCCGCUUAGGACAACGUUCAUAGCCAUUAUAUCGACUGGUGCGUAUAUCACAUACGAUCCUGAUGCAUCCGUACAGCUCUCUUGUAAGAUCAACAUGUUGCUCUGUCCUGAGUUCGCGCUCUGUUACAAUAUCAAGAAGAAUGUUUAAACACUUGAAAGCAUGAAACAUGACCGUUUUUAGCAUGGUUUAAAGAAAUUUUAGAAUUUUAAAUUAUUUCAAAAAAAAAAUAUUAGAAUUUUUAAAUAAAUUCUUAAAUUAUGAUUUAAAACUUUAAUUUUAGUUAUGAAUCUAAAUUUAUGAUAGAAAAUCUAUUGAUGAAGUUAUUAACUUUUAAAACUAUAUCAUUAACUCUUUAAAUAUACUCUUAAUAUUUUCUUAACAGGAUUUAGAAAUGAUUUGAGGCGGCACUACCAAUAGUAAAAAAGAGUUUGCAGAACAUAAUCUUACAUUAACUCGGAACAAGGAGACAGAGUUCCCAGGGUCCCGACCAUUUGCGAUAUGAGCCAUUUCUUGAACCAAACCUCCGUUCGAAAGUAUAUCCCACUGCGAGAUCAAGAACUGAAUUAAAGAACGUUCGGUCAAGAAACUAAAGAAACCAAAACGGUUUUGUUCUUUACCUCGCUUCUAGAGUUUUCAUCUCUCAGAAAAUCAAACACACGUUUAGGUGCCACUGGGAUCCAGAACGAAGUGGCUGCACUCAAGACGAUACCUGGAGGCCUUCCUGGAUCAUCCAUGCUCUUCCUGGUCAUGACCCGAACGUCGUCGGAGCCUGUGGUGGCUAAUGUAGUCCAGGCAUGUGCAUUUGACGCCCCUACUCCGCUACAGAAGCUCAUCACCAUCCUCUCCGCUAGCUUCAACAUGCUCUUUCUCCCCUCAGGACUUGUUAUCACUAUUCAUAAUUACAACAAAGUGAAGGGAAUUCAAUUAGUUAAUAUGAUUUCAAUUUAGUCUCAUAGUUUAUGAAUUUAUCAAAUAGGCCCUCUAAGUAAUAACGUACCGGAAAGAUCACCGGUUGGAAUGUUGCUAGCCAUCGAACUAGCGAGCCGCUCGCAUUGGCGGUCAAGUGUAGCCACCCAACGUUUCGCACCAAAAGCUAAACCGGUAUUAACCAACGGUUUGUACAUGGUGUGAACCGAUCUGUCAUCCACCUCCGUAUGCUCUACCCAUGUCACCUUCAACACAUGCCAAUAACAAAAUAAGUACUCUUAACGUACAAACUCUCUAUCUCAUACUUUUAAAAUUAUACCUUAGAAUAGCCAUUCUGCAGUUCUUGAAUCAGACAACCAGAGGGUCUUCUCCUGUUUCUAGUGAUGGGACUUGGUCUUAGGCUGUCCAAAGAGACAUCAACAACCGCCCAAGUAUUGUCGCUGUGCUGCUUACAAUACCUUACAAAGUAGUUCUCUCGUGUCGGGACAAGUGGUGACGGGACUUGGAACUCAGCUGUCAUCUUCAGAAAACAAAUACAAAAUGAUUCAGAAUAAUAGCUUGUGAAACAAGUAAUCAAAUUGAUAGUGUUUUAAGCCUCUUACCACUUGUAAUGCCCCAUUGUAGUUCCCUGCAACGCCAGUAGAUAGAACUUCUAGCGUCAAUGCUCUGGAUACAAUCCCACAGAACACACUAGACCAUUGAUUCUAUUCAGAGAAAAAAAAGAUUAUAAGUGUCGAUCUUUGUUUAGCUAGGUUUGAGAAAGAUAAGGAAACAGAUUUGUUACCACAUCCAUUAGAAUCUCAACGAGAUUGAUAUGAUUCAUGAUGACGACCGUGGAUUCUCUAGAAGCUUCUGAUCUUAAACCCAAAGGUUUUGGUCCUAUUCCCCUAGGGAACGUUCGAAAAUACUCUUCCUCAUUGAGAAUCUCAACCGCAUUAUCGCUUGGAACCCACAAGGGAUCACCUGUUUGAGCCAUUCUCACAAGCUCUUCCAUGGCAGCAACAGCUAA